GCUAGGUGAGUGCUCUACUGCUGAACCCCAGCCCCAGCCCUUAUAUUUACUUUUUUAAAAUUAUUAUUAUUAUUUUAUAUUUACUUUUAUAUGCAUGAAAACUCUGGAAAAAUCAACAAGAAAUGAACAAUAGUGGGGUGGGGUUGUGGCUCAGUGGUAGAGUGCUCGCUUAGC
This 174-nucleotide microRNA precursor is filed under the name Marmota monax (woodchuck). Lineage: Eukaryota; Metazoa; Chordata; Mammalia; Rodentia; Sciuridae. The record is from RNAcentral.